This 370-nucleotide ribosomal RNA is filed under the name uncultured organism. RNAcentral describes it as "bacterial SSU rRNA". It matches the Rfam family "Bacterial small subunit ribosomal RNA", at positions 526 to 896 of the family's 1533-position model. The record is from RNAcentral.
CGGAGAGUGCAAACGUUGUUCGGAUUCACCGGGCGUAAAGGGCACGUAGGCGGCUCGGCAAAUCGGUCGUGGAAUCUCGACGCUUACCGUCGAAACGGCGGCCGAAAAUACCGGGCUCGAGGGCGUGAGGGGUCACUGGAACUCCUGGUGAAGCGGUGAAAUGCGUAGAUAUCAGGAGGAACGCCGGAGGCGAAAGCGAGUGACUGGCGCGUUCCUGACGCUGAGGUGCGAAAGCUAGGGGAGCAAACAGGAUUAGAUACCCUGGUAGUCCUAGCCGUAAACGAUGGACACUGAGUGAAGGAGGGCUUGCCCUUCUUUGCUGCAGCUAACGCGUUAAGUGUCCCGCCUGGGGAGUACGGCCGCAAGGUUA